RNAcentral lists this ribosomal RNA (253 nucleotides) under uncultured bacterium. Its description in RNAcentral is "partial 16S ribosomal RNA". It matches the Rfam family "Bacterial small subunit ribosomal RNA", at positions 524 to 776 of the family's 1533-position model. The record is from RNAcentral.
UACAGGGGGGGCAAGCGUUGUUCGGAAUUACUGGGCGUAAAGGGCUCGUAGGCGGCCAACUAAGUCAUACGUGAAAUCCCUCGGCUUAACCGGGGAACUGCGUCUGAUACUGGAUGGCUUGAGAUUGGGAGAGGGAUGCGGAAUUCCAGGUGUAGCGGUGAAAUGCGUAGAUAUCUGGAGGAACACCGGUGGCGAAGGCGGCAUCCUGGACCAACACUGACGCUGAGGAGCGAAAGCCAGGGGAGCAAACAGG